UACAGAGGUCUCAAGCGUUGUCCGGAAUCAUUGGGCGUAAAGAGCGUGUAGGCGGCCAGACAGGUCAGCUGUGAAAACUCGAGGCUCAACCUCGAGACGUCGGUUGAAACCGUCUGGCUAGAGUCCGGAAGAGGAGAGUGGAAUUCCCGGUGUAGCGGUGAAAUGCGCAGAUAUCGGGAAGAACACCCGUGGCGAAGGCGGCUCUCUGGGACGGUACUGACGCUGAGACGCGAAAGCGUGGGGAGCGAACAGG
RNAcentral lists this ribosomal RNA (253 nucleotides) under uncultured bacterium. RNAcentral describes it as "partial 16S ribosomal RNA". It matches the Rfam family "Bacterial small subunit ribosomal RNA", at positions 524 to 776 of the family's 1533-position model. The record is from RNAcentral.